This 443-nucleotide ribosomal RNA is filed under the name uncultured bacterium. Its description in RNAcentral is "partial 16S ribosomal RNA". It matches the Rfam family "Bacterial small subunit ribosomal RNA", at positions 338 to 795 of the family's 1533-position model. The record is from RNAcentral.
CCUACGGGAGGCAGCAGUGGGGAAUAUUGGGCAAUGGGCGCAAGCCUGACCCAGCAACGCCGCGUGAAGGAAGAAGGCUUUCGGGUUGUAAACUUCUUUUAUCAGGGACGAAGCAAGUGACGGUACCUGCUGAAUAUGCCACGGCUAACUACGUGCCAGCAGCCGCGGUAAUACGUAGGUGGCAAGCGUUAUCCGGAUUUACUGGGUGUAAAGGGCGUGUAGGCGGGAGAGCAAGUCAGAUGUGAAAACUAUGGGCUCAACCCAUAGCCUGCAUUUGAAACUGUACUUCUUGAGUGCUGGAGAGGCAAUCGGAAUUCCGGGUGUAGCGGUGAAAUGCGUAGAUAUACGGAAGAACACCAGUGGCGAAGGCAGAUUGCUAGACAAUAACUGACGCUGAGGCACGAAAGCGUGGGGAGCAAACAGGAUUAGAUACCCUUGUAGUC